This 144-nucleotide non-coding RNA is filed under the name Lampropedia hyalina. RNAcentral describes it as "SAH sequence". It matches the Rfam family "SAH (S-adenosyl-L-homocysteine) riboswitch aptamer". The record is from RNAcentral. Lineage: Bacteria; Pseudomonadati; Pseudomonadota; Betaproteobacteria; Burkholderiales; Comamonadaceae. RNAcentral also lists the same sequence under 1 other name.
CUUCCCGAGGAGCGUUGCAACAUGGGCGCAGCAAUGGAUAUUGCGCGGCAUGUGAGGCUCGGGGUGGCUCAGGUCAGGUGUACAUGCCGGUUGUGCGGCAGGUGGCCCUGUCCAUGCGCACAUUGGCAACGACGCUCAUCCGCA